This 468-nucleotide ribosomal RNA is filed under the name uncultured bacterium. Its description in RNAcentral is "partial 16S ribosomal RNA". It matches the Rfam family "Bacterial small subunit ribosomal RNA", at positions 28 to 507 of the family's 1533-position model. The record is from RNAcentral.
GACGAACGCUGGCGGCGUGCUUAACACAUGCAAGUCGAACGGAAAGGCCCUGCUUUUGUGGGGUGCUCGAGUGGCGAACGGGUGUGUAACACGUGAGUAACCUGCCCUUGACUUUGGGAUAACUCCAGGAAACUGGGGCUAAUACCGGAUAGGAGCUCCUGCUGCAUGGUGGGGGUUGGAAAGUUUCGGCGGUUGGGGAUGGACUCGCGGCUUAUCAGCUUGUUGGUGGGGUAGUGGCUUACCAAGGCUUUGACGGGUAGCCGGCCUGAGAGGGUGACCGGCCACAUUGGGACUGGGAUACGGCACAGACUCCUACGGGAGGCAGCAGUGGGGAAUAUUGCACAAUGGGCGGAAGCCUGAUGCAGCAACGCCGCGUGCGGGAUGACGGCCUUCGGGUUGUAAACCGCUUUCGCCUGUGACGAAGCGUGAGUGACGGUAAUGGGUAAAGAAGCACCGGCUAACUACGUG